UAGAUAUAUUUUAUUCUUUUGCAAAGAAUUAUUACUUUUUGUUAUAUCUAU
Molecule: transfer RNA, 51 nt
Filed under: Pyemotes zhonghuajia
Lineage: Eukaryota; Metazoa; Arthropoda; Arachnida; Trombidiformes; Pyemotidae
Description: tRNA-Ala
Source: RNAcentral